UGUCCAAAAAUUCAGAAUCCA
This 21-nucleotide non-coding RNA is filed under the name Caenorhabditis elegans. The record is from RNAcentral. Lineage: Eukaryota; Metazoa; Nematoda; Chromadorea; Rhabditida; Rhabditidae.